RNAcentral lists this ribosomal RNA (514 nucleotides) under uncultured bacterium. RNAcentral's name for it is "partial 16S ribosomal RNA". It matches the Rfam family "Bacterial small subunit ribosomal RNA", at positions 28 to 523 of the family's 1533-position model. The record is from RNAcentral.
GAUGAACGCUGGCGGCGUGCCUAAUACAUGCAAGUCGAGCGAACAGAUGAGAAGCUUGCCUCUCUGAUGUUAGCGGCGGACGGGUGAGUAACACGUGGGUAACCUACCUAUAAGACUGGGAUAACUCCGGGAAACCGGGGCUAAUACCGGAUAAUAUUUUGAACCGCAUGGUUCGAUAGUGAAAGACGGUUUCGGCUGUCACUUAUAGAUGGACCCGCGCCGUAUUAGCUAGUUGGUAAGGUAACGGCUUACCAAGGCGACGAUACGUAGCCGAACUGAGAGGCUGAUCAGACACAAUGGAACUGAGACACGGUCCAGCGUCCAACGGGAAGCAGCAGUAGGGAAUCUUCCGCAAUGGGCGAAAGCCGGACUGAGCAACGCCUAGUGAGUGAUUGAGGUCUUCGGAUCGUAAAACUCUGUUGUUAGGGAAGAACAAAUUUGUUAGUAACUGAACAAGUCUUGACGGUACCUAACCAGAAAGCCACGGCUAACUACGUGCCAGCCGCCGCGGUAA